GGGCAGGUGCCCUUAAAUCUGUCGUUAAAAGGCUCUCGGUCCCUGCAGGCGAUGUGGAUGUUCCGCGCCGCUCCUCCGGCCCCUCUGCGGGGCGGGAGGAGACGCCCCUGCGCCCCGCCGGCUCCCUCGGCGUUUGCCGAUUACCUGCAGAGUGCAGAGUCGCGGAAGCCCGAGCGCUUCUUAAAACCACGCCAAGACGGCAGGAAAGGCCGAGCAAGCGAGGGAGGCGGGCGGUGCUGCGGCGAGCGGGCUGAGAGCUGCACCCUUAGCCGACGAGGUGAUGGAGAUUGUCGAGGAAGUAUAUUGAUGAAGAAGAUGAAG
Long non-coding RNA from Melopsittacus undulatus (budgerigar), 321 nucleotides. Lineage: Eukaryota; Metazoa; Chordata; Aves; Psittaciformes; Psittaculidae. The record is from Ensembl.